RNAcentral lists this ribosomal RNA (382 nucleotides) under uncultured eukaryote. Its description in RNAcentral is "partial 18S ribosomal RNA". It matches the Rfam family "Eukaryotic small subunit ribosomal RNA", at positions 592 to 976 of the family's 1831-position model. The record is from RNAcentral.
UGUAAGCGUAUACCAAAGUUGUUGCAGUUAAAACGCUCGUAGUCGGAAUUUGGCAGUUCCGGAUGUGUGCACGUCGUGUGCGCACUUCGCGGGGAUUGCUUUUGUGGUCUUGCGUAGGAUGAGGCACUUUUAUUAGUGAACGUCCGCACGCUGCCACUUUUUACUGUGAGAAAAUCAGAGUGCUCAAAGCAGGCAUUUGCCGUGAAUGUAUUAGCAUGGAAUAAUAGAAUAGGACUCGGUUCUAUUUUGUUGGUUUGUUGGGACUGAGUAAUGAUUAAGAGGGACAGUUGGGGGCAUUUGUAUUUCGGCGCUAGGGGUGAAAUUCUUAGAUUGCCGAAAGACAAACUGCUGCGAAAGCGUCUGCCAAGGAUGUUUUCAUUGA